Molecule: transfer RNA, 93 nt
Filed under: Halolamina pelagica
Lineage: Archaea; Methanobacteriati; Methanobacteriota; Halobacteria; Halobacteriales; Haloferacaceae
Description: tRNA-Ala
Source: RNAcentral
UGGAUACGCUCGAGGGGGCGUAACCGCGCCUUGCGGGAGCGGCAACGGGACCGCGACCGACCAGUGGCGGGCGUUCAGCCCUCCGUUUCCGGC